This 386-nucleotide ribosomal RNA is filed under the name uncultured bacterium. RNAcentral's name for it is "bacterial SSU rRNA". It matches the Rfam family "Bacterial small subunit ribosomal RNA", at positions 29 to 417 of the family's 1533-position model. The record is from RNAcentral.
AGCGAACGUUUGCGGCGGGCCUAACACAUGCAAGUCGAACGGGCUAGCAAUAGUCAGUGGCGCACGGGUGCGUAACACGUGGGUAAUCAACCCUUCAGCUCGGGAUAACGCCUUGAAAGGGGCGCUAAUACCGGAUACGACGCGAGGAGCUUCGGCUGCUCGCGGGAAAGAUUCGGCAAGGGAUCUCUGAAGGACGAGCCUGCGGCCCAUCAGCUAGUUGGUGAGGUAAGAGCUCACCAAGGCGAAGACGGGUAGCUGGUCUGAGAGGAUGAUCAGCCACACUGGAACUGAGACACGGUCCAGACUCCUACGGGAGGCAGCAGUGGGGAAUAUUGCGCAAUGGGCGAAAGCCUGACGCAGCCACGCCGCGUGAGCGAUGAAGGCCU